CUAGAACUUGAGGCGAUCCUCUGCCUCAGCCUCCUGAGUGCUGAGUUACAGGGAUUGAACUCGGAACCUUGUGUUUGCGAGGCAGGUGCCAGAACUACUGAGCUAAAUCCCCGGGCCCAACCUUCCCGUUUUCAUCUGAUGCUCCUAACAACUCCUUGAGACAGACAGAGACCAACAAGAAGCCAAAAGCUCUGCAAAAAAAGGGGCCCCUCAUCUUCAGCCUCUUGCCAUCCCCCUUGCAUGAAUGAAUCUUGUCCAAGAACUGGGAGAAACUUCAGAGGGGAAGCUCGCAUGUUGUUGGAGUUCAUCUAAAAACAACCAAACAAUCAAAAAUACUGCAAGCGGGGGAUUCCCCAUCCAUGGGAAAAAGAAUAUUAAAGUUCACUUCAACUGUGGGCCAAAGACAGGAUUUAAGCACCUGGUUAUUCUUUUAUUCACUCCCUUAUGAAUCAUGAUGUGAUAGCCAACCUGUCUCCAUUUUGUGCCUCAUCACCAUUCCCCCUCCCCCCUUGGGAGUCCUCUCUGUUGAUGCUUGACAGACCACUGCACCCCAUUUGGUAGAGCAGUCUGCAGCUAUAUGUUAUCUUUAUGACCUUGUGAAGAGAAUACUCUGCACCUAUGUGAUAUUUUGUUUCAACUAAAUUCUGUGAAACUUCCCCUGACCCUCACUAAUUUAGCAAAGCUCUGCUUCUGUAAAAUUCUGCUUGUGUUCCCCCUCUCCCAGAGCCGUCCCCAACUAGAAGAGCCACUAAAAAAGAAACCUGCAAGCUGCUUUUCGGGGUCAAGAGAUUCUGAGUGCUAGCUCCUCUCAACCGCCAGCAAUAAAGGACUCAAAUUUGGCUCAGAGUGUUGGUGAUUCCCUAUAAUCUCUCUUGAUUGAAUAUAACAAUGACACUG
RNAcentral lists this long non-coding RNA (897 nucleotides) under Heterocephalus glaber (naked mole-rat). RNAcentral describes it as "lncRNA (ENSHGLG00000043667.1)". The record is from RNAcentral. Lineage: Eukaryota; Metazoa; Chordata; Mammalia; Rodentia; Bathyergidae.